RNAcentral lists this ribosomal RNA (408 nucleotides) under uncultured bacterium. Its description in RNAcentral is "partial 16S ribosomal RNA". It matches the Rfam family "Bacterial small subunit ribosomal RNA", at positions 28 to 526 of the family's 1533-position model. The record is from RNAcentral.
GACGAACGCUGGCGGCGUGCCUAAUACAUGCAAGUCGAUCGAAUCGGCGGAUGGGAGAGUAACGCGUGGGUAACCUGCCCUUAAGUCUGGGAUACCAUUUGGAAACCGAUGCUAAUACCGGAUACUAAAGGAUGGACCUGCGAUGCAUUAGCUUGUUGGUAAGGUAACGGCUGACCAGGGCGUUGAUGCAUAGCCGAGUUGAGAGACUGAGCGGCAACAUUGGGCCUGAGACACGGCACAAACUCCUACGGGGGGAAGCAGUAGGGAAUCUUACACAAUGGAGAAAAGUCUGAGGGGGAAACGCCGAGGGAGUAAGGAAGGUUUUCGGUGCGAAAUGCUUGGUUGUUGGUGGAGCGGUAAUCAACCAGAAAGUCACGGCUAACUACGUGCCAGCAGCCGCGGUAAUAG